AGUCUACAAAUCAAAUAGCCAACUUGUAGAGUGCUUAAUAGGGCAGUCAAUUAGUGGGCAUUAAUGCCUGCGAUUAAUGCAGGGCAAAAUUAACAUGUUAAAAAAAUUAACACGUUAAUCUCGGAAGUCAGCAAAUCAGCAUGAGCUGCUUCAGAGACGUCUCUGGUAAGGCGCAGUAAUGCAAACCGCCACCAGAGGGCGCACGGAAAAACAAAGCAGCCAGAAAGGAGGAAAAAAACCUGAAGCCCCGGUUCUAGCUCCAGCGGAGAAGUAAACCAGAAAAGUAAAGACCCUGACACCCAUCCCGCUCCCCUCCCAGGGAGCGAGGGGAAAGUGCAGUUUCCUACAUUCUUCCCUCUGGCUGGGGAGUGCCUGGAUCAGAUGAACCUGGACCCGCCCCAGUUGCGGGACAUGCACCCCUCCCCUGGAUGUGCCUGCUGGAGCUGCUGCAACCACAGAGAGCUCACCUCCUCUCCCUGCCAUCACUGGGAAAAAUCUGAUGCAGCUCCCGCAACCACAUAUCUGAAAAUAUACAGAUUUAGCUCUUGGUCAGUCAAAUUGAACACAUCUGUUCCUGCAGUCUAUCACGAGGCAGAUUCUGCAACUCUAUUAAGCAAUGGUUGCCUACAUCUGGCAAAGCAAAUACAGGAUAAAAAAUAUCAUCUGUAAUGUUAUUUUAUUAAACUAAAAAUCUAGCGCUGCAGAAUCCCUGAGUAGAUGAGUCAUUUUUUGCAUAGGAUUCUUUUUUCUGAGUAAGCUCUUUCUUCAUACUAAAACUUAUUUGCCCUAUAUUGACAUUUGGUUAUAUUGUCUGACAAUUGCAAAAUGAUCAGCCUCUCAUAUAGAUCAGUGAUUCCCAAACCAUUUCACAGUGUGGACUAAUUGAUAAGAAGGACUUGCCCAUGAAUUGUCACUUCCAAAAGGUCAUGAACAAAUCACUCCCCAGCCUCCCAGCUUGAUCCUAUACCUUCUCUGCAGGUUCUAUGGUGCUUGAUUACAUGAAAAAACAAUAUGAGGGAAGGAUUAGAGAGACCAGACAAAAACAAGCUUGUUUCUUCAUUGUUAUUUUUCUCCCCUGCAUUUUGUAUCUGUGCUGGACCAUACGCUUAUUAGUACCAUGUCCCUAUUGCUGCCUGCAGCCCCCACUGCACUGCUUAGGUGAUGUUGCAAUUUGAUUCUGUCCUUUUGUAUAUUUACUGCCACUACAACUUGGUUGUCAUCCGCAAACGUACUAUUUACCCUAAAGAAACCCUGUACAGAAAGACACAGAGUGGUUACAAAGCAAGGUGCAUAUAGGGAGUAUUUGGAGGGAAGGCUAGAAAGGGUGUUUACUUUUGUUUUCUUCAUUUACGUGGUCAAAAAAAUCCUCUGGAAACCCUAAUCAUCUGUGAGAGGGGAUGACUAACAUGAAGUAUCACAACUUGAAAACUGAUAGAGGACAAAGCACUGUGUCAGGAGCAGCUCUAUGCUCACCUGUAAGUUUUCCAUGAAUCAUAAUGUGAGAGCUAUAGAGCAGAGGUGAUAAAGAACUGUCUGAGACAUGUGAUGUGAAGGGCUUGGGGAAAAGUUUAUGUCCUCCCUUUAGAAAAACAGAAAUAUAUGCGAUACUUUACAAUGCUGCAAUUUUGUGUUAACUUUGAUGCUAAUCCUACAAGUUCUCCACAAUGACUUUCCUGGGAACUCGUCCCUGUAUUAGCUAUUUGGUAUGGCACCUACUCUUUGUAAUUCUGUUUUAGAUACAAUGCUGGGUAGUAAAAGAACAAAGUGGAAUAUUUUGGUGAGACAAGGAAAAUAAUUAACACAUUUGCUUAAAAGUACAGGCAGUCCCCGACUUACGCGGAUCCGA
Pelodiscus sinensis (Chinese soft-shelled turtle) is the source of this 1846-nucleotide non-coding RNA. The record is from RefSeq and is a predicted model, not a curated record. Lineage: Eukaryota; Metazoa; Chordata; Testudines; Trionychidae.